GGAUUAGAUACCCUGGUAGUCCACGCCCUAAACGAUGUGCACUAGAUCGAGGAGGUUUUGACGCCAUCUCGGCCGAAGUAAAAACGUUAAGUGCACCGCCUGGGGAGUACGGUCGCAAGGCUAAAACUCAAAGGAAUUGACGGGGGCUCACACAAGCGGUGGAGCAUGUGGCUUAAUUCGAAACUACGCGAAGAACCUUAUUCAGGGUUUGACAUGUACGGAUUACUGAUCUGAAAAGUGAUGGACGCUCUUUGAGUGGAACGUACACAGGUGCUGCAUGGCUGUCGUCAGCUCGUGCCG
This 300-nucleotide ribosomal RNA is filed under the name uncultured bacterium. Its description in RNAcentral is "bacterial SSU rRNA". It matches the Rfam family "Bacterial small subunit ribosomal RNA", at positions 775 to 1067 of the family's 1533-position model. The record is from RNAcentral.